This 192-nucleotide ribosomal RNA is filed under the name uncultured Vibrio sp. RNAcentral's name for it is "partial 16S ribosomal RNA". It matches the Rfam family "Bacterial small subunit ribosomal RNA", at positions 438 to 623 of the family's 1533-position model. Lineage: Bacteria; Pseudomonadati; Pseudomonadota; Gammaproteobacteria; Vibrionales; Vibrionaceae. The record is from RNAcentral.
AGUCGUGAGGAUGGGUGUGUAGUUAAUAGCUGCAUAUCUUGACGUUAGCGACAGAAGAAGCACCGGCUAACUCCGUGCCAGCAGCGGCGGUAAUACGGAGGGUGCGAGCGUUAUCGGAAUUACUGGGCGUAAAGCGCAUGCAGGUGGUUCACUAAGUCAGAUGUGAAAGCCCGGCGCUCAACCUCGGAACCG